GCGCUGUAGCCUGGAGGCUCCGGGCGCGGGGAAGUCAUGCUCGCUUCACGGAGGCAAUAGCUAGCCGUGCAACAGAAAUAAACCAAAUGUGUUUGAACAUAUGUCAGAGGGCUGACAUAAUCAUAUGAAGAAUGCUAUACCAGUUUGGCUUUGGGACGAAAUGUGAAUCUACUAGGGCAACAUACAACUGCCCUCUGAGUCAGAAGAUCAGAAGUUGCUGUGGCUACACAUAUUAAGUGGUACAGAGUGUUGUGUGGAUCCAGAGGGAGAAAAAGGCCAUUGGUGUUAAU
Molecule: long non-coding RNA, 290 nt
Filed under: Homo sapiens (human)
Lineage: Eukaryota; Metazoa; Chordata; Mammalia; Primates; Hominidae
Description: non-protein coding lnc-C9-1:4
Source: RNAcentral